CGCGGGGUAGAGCAGUCCGGUAGCUCGUGAGGCUCAUAACCUCAAGGCCGCAGGUUCGAAUCCUGCCCCCGCAA
This 74-nucleotide transfer RNA is filed under the name Planctomycetaceae bacterium. RNAcentral's name for it is "tRNA-Met". It matches the Rfam family "tRNA". Rfam says of the family: Transfer RNA (tRNA) molecules are approximately 80 nucleotides in length. Their secondary structure includes four short double-helical elements and three loops (D, anti-codon, and T loops). Lineage: Bacteria; Pseudomonadati; Planctomycetota; Planctomycetia; Planctomycetales; Planctomycetaceae. The record is from RNAcentral.